UUAUUUUUUAUUUUUUUGUGGAAUACAAUGUUAUAAAUUGACUUAACGUGAACCUUAUACAGCCGAAACUACUCAUUUUGUUAAACACAUCAACAAUAUUUCUAAUCACCUUCUACAAAAUGAAACUUACUGAUAUCCUUUUCUAUUGCCUCACUAAACGCUUUGGCUAAUUGGGAUAAUUCAUUAUCUCCGGAUACUUGGACACUUUAUGACCGUGCUCCAGUAUUAGGUGACUUCACCUUGAAUGUAUCUGCAAUAGGACCGAAUAAUACUAUAGUCGAUAGUAUAUACCUGCCAACCGAAUUGAAUGUGACACAAUGGAUGCAAGAACAUGCAGCUGAACAUUACACCUAGUCAACUAGUAGUAAUACCUCAAAUGCGAUCUCGUGGUGGGUAUAUCGUUUGAUUUGGGAAUAAAGUGGAUGAAAUGGAGUUUUGUGAUAUUUGAAAGUCAACUUGAACUCGAUUUAUUGUUUUUGAUUUCCCGUUUAGUAUAAUAAUAAGUUUACAUGUAGGAAGCUUUGCAUGUAUUUUAUUGAUUUCAACCGCAUAAAAUUAUUGGGAAAAUGGCGAGGUAAAUUGAAUAGCAUUUAUUCAACAACUAUUAAAAAUAUGUUUUUGAAAGUCAAAAGUUUUUCUUAUAGUUUAGUAAAAGAUGAAUUAGUAGCUAAUAUGUUAGAUGUUUAAGUUUCAAU
RNAcentral lists this long non-coding RNA (695 nucleotides) under Schizosaccharomyces pombe (fission yeast). The record is from RNAcentral. Lineage: Eukaryota; Fungi; Ascomycota; Schizosaccharomycetes; Schizosaccharomycetales; Schizosaccharomycetaceae.